GUCUUCGAUCAGGCGCUAGGGUUUCGCGUCUAGGCAGUGAGCGAUCGAUCUUUGGCGGUGCGUCCCCCGAGAGAUCUCUGUGAUUGUCGAGAGAGGAUCCCCCCAGCGAGCGAGUCCGAUUCAAGAUUUCGAGGAAUUGUGUGCCUGAUCGCUGCCGCCCGCAUUUCACUCGCGCGAGGGCUUGAUUCGAGGCUUCUUGGUGCGAGCGUAGAGAUCGAGAGCAGCUAUGCAGGCUUGCCUGGGAUUGUCCUUGAACCAGGCAGCAUGGAUGCACCGCCGCGCUCGAGCAACGGAAGCUACCGCUUUGGGGUCAAUCUGCUCCAGCCGCUUGAGCUCAGCUGUGCCGUCCUUGUCAUGCGCGACCGCCGGACUGAAGGUUCUUCACACUAGUUUUUUGCCCUCGAGAAAUUUGGAUAGAUGGGGCACUGGCAGCAGCCAUCUCCAGCGAUGGAAUGGGGAGCGGAGAAUGUACCGCUGCGUGGUCACCAUGUCGUCCAUGUCUCAAGUGCCAGAGGGUCCUCUUGGACUUUACGAUCCUGCAUUGGACAAGGAUUCGUGUGGGGUGGGUUUUGUUGCCGAGCUUUCAGCCAAGCCGAGCCGCCAGACUGUCACUGAUGCUCUGGAGAUGCUUGUAAGAAUGGCACAUCGUGGUGCUUGUGGCUGUGAAACUAACACUGGUGAUGGUGCAGGCGUUCUUUUGGCACUCCCCCAUGACUUCUUUGCAUCGAUCGCCAAAGACGAGAUCGGAUGUGAACUUCCCCCUCCAUCCGAGUACGCCGUCGGCAUGUUUUUUCUUCCCACUUCCGAGACGAGGCGGAUGGAAAGCAAAAACGUGUUUAACAAGGUCGCAGAGUCUCUUGGACACACGGUUCUUGGCUGGCGAAGUGUUGUGACCGACAACUCGGAUCUGGGGAAAUCGGCUCUUGCGACUGAGCCCGUUGUGGAGCAAGUGUUUUUGACGGGCAGCUCCAGGUCGUCCGCCAGCUUAGAACAGCAGAUGUAUAUUUUGCGCAAGCUGUCCAUGGUUGCCAUUCGAGCUGCUCUUAAUCUCCAGCAUGGUGCUGUUCGUGAUUUCUACAUCUGUUCCCUUUCAUCGAGAACUGUUGUUUACAAGGGGCAGCUCAAACCAGACCAGCUCAAGAAAUACUACGCGUCCGAUCUUUGUCACGACAAAUUUACAAGCUAUAUGGCUUUGGUGCAUUCAAGAUUUUCAACAAACACAUUUCCUAGCUGGGAUCGGGCGCAACCAAUGAGAGUUCUUGGUCACAAUGGAGAAAUCAAUACUCUUCGAGGAAAUGUCAAUUGGAUGCGAGCUCGGGAAGGCCUUUUGAAAUGCAGAGCGCUUGACCUUUCAAAUGACGAACUCCAGAAACUGCUUCCUAUUGUUGACGCUAGCUCCUCCGACUCCGGUUCAUUUGAUGGUGUGUUGGAGUUUCUUGUACGCUCUGGUCGAAGUCUUCCGGAGGCAAUGAUGAUGAUGAUACCGGAAGCAUGGCAGAAUGACAAGAAUAUGGAUCCAGAAAGAAGAGCUCUGUACGAGUACUUUUCUGCUUUGAUGGAACCUUGGGAUGGACCUGCGCUUAUUGCUUUCUCGGACGGUCGUUAUCUUGGUGCAACUCUGGAUCGAAAUGGACUUCGACCAGGGCGUUACUACAUCACUCAUAGUGGCCGCGUGAUCAUGGGCAGUGAGGUCGGCGUAGUCGAUGUGCCACCCCAGGAUGUAAGCAAAAAAGGUCGCUUAAAUCCGGGUAUGAUGCUUCUCGUGGAUUUUGAGAACCAUGCCGUUGUGGACGACGACGCCCUUAAGAAAGAGUAUUCUACGCGUCAACCAUAUGCUGAGUGGCUCCAACAUCAGAAAAUUUUGCUCAAGGACAUCGUGGACUCUGUUUCAGAAGACUGCACAUCUCCACGAAUUAUUGGAACUCUGCAGCCUAAAAAGACGGAUGCAACGAGGGACAACAUGGGGAUUCAUGGAUUGGUACCACCGCUCAAAGCUUUUGGGUACACUGUUGAAGCGCUCGAGAUGCUGUUACUUCCAAUGGCCAAAGAUGGUGUGGAGGCCCUUGGCUCGAUGGGAAAUGACGCACCGUUGGCCGUUAUGACCGAUCGGCCAAAGCUCAGCUUCGAGUACUUCAAGCAGAUGUUUGCUCAAGUUACAAAUCCGCCGAUAGAUCCUAUCCGUGAAGCUAUCGUCACAUCGACAGAGUGCAUGAUCGGACCGGAGGGUGAUUUGACGGAGUCGACAGAAGAGCAAUUCCACCGGCUCUCUCUGAAGGGACCGCUCAUAUCACCUUUGGAAAUGGAAGCGCUGAAGAAGAUGAACUACCAGGGUUGGCGGAGCAAAAUAAUUGACAUCACGUUUCCACGAGAGGAAGGACCUACUGGUCUGGAGAAAGCUCUGGACAGAAUAUGUGUGGAAGCCAGGAAAGCCAUAUCGAAGGGGUUCAAAAUGCUGGUUCUUUCGGACAGAGGAACCUCUCCUGAACGAGUUCCAGUGAGCUCUUUAUUGGCUGUUGGAACUGUUCAUCACCAUCUCGUCUCAACUCUUGAGCGUACGCGCAUUGGUUUAGUGGUGGAAUCUGGUGAGCCUAGGGAGGUACAUCACUUCUGCACACUCCUAGGAUUUGGAGCAGACGCGAUAUGUCCCUACCUGGCCGUUGAAGCUAUCUGGAGGUUACAGGUAGAUGGCAAAAUACCAUCUAAGGAGAAUGGAGUCCUAAGUUCUAAAGACGAGCUGGUCCAGAAGUACUUCAAAGCUUCGAAUUCGGGUAUUCUCAAGGUCCUUGCCAAGAUGGGCAUUUCAACCUUGGCAUCGUACAAAGGAGCUCAAAUCUUCGAAGCCCUUGGCCUCUCUUCGGACGUAGUGCAGAGGUGCUUCAGAGGUACACCAAGCAGGGUGGAGGGUGCUACGUUUGAGAUGCUUGCAAAGGAUUCGCUUCGAUUGCAUGAGCUGGCGUUUCCCUCUCGCAAGCUGCCACCGGGAAGUGCUGAAGCUCAUGCUCUGCCAAAUCCCGGAGACUAUCACUGGAGGAAAGAUGGCGAGAUUCAUCUGAAUGACCCGCUAGCGAUGGCAAAGUUACAGGAAGCUGCUCGGACUAACAGCGUUGGAGCCUACAAGGACUACUCGAAGCGGAUUUACGAACUGAACAAAAAAUGCAGCCUGCGUGGGAUGUUGAAGUUCAAAGCUUCCAAAACUCCGGUUGCAUUAGAGGAGGUGGAACCUGCCAGCGAAAUCGUGAAGCGUUUCUGUACUGGUGCUAUGAGUUACGGCUCUAUUUCCUUGGAGGCUCACACAACUUUGGCGAUGGCAAUGAACCAAAUCGGAGGAAAAUCUAAUACUGGUGAGGGAGGUGAAAAUCCUUCUCGACUGGAGGCUUUGCCUAACGGCCAGAUGAACCCGAAAAGAAGUGCUAUCAAGCAAGUCGCCAGUGGAAGAUUUGGAGUCACCAGUUAUUAUCUUACGAAUGCUGAUGAACUUCAAAUCAAAAUGGCUCAGGGAGCAAAACCUGGAGAGGGAGGUGAGCUUCCGGGGCACAAGGUUAUAGGAGACAUUGCGACAACAAGAAACUCUACAUCGGGCGUUGGUUUGAUAAGUCCUCCACCACAUCAUGAUAUCUAUUCGAUUGAAGACCUUGCUCAGCUUAUUUAUGAUCUGAAGAAUUCGAAUCCAGGUGCUCGUAUCAGCGUGAAGCUAGUUUCUGAAGCCGGUAUUGGUGUAGUGGCCAGCGGGGUCGUGAAAGGCCAUGCAGACCACGUCCUGAUUUCGGGCCAUGAAGGGGGUACCGGUGCGUCGCGCUGGACUGGCAUAAAAAAUGCAGGCUUGCCGUGGGAGCUUGGUCUUGCAGAGACUCAUCAGACGCUAGUUGCAAAUGAUCUUCGAGGACGGACCACAUUGCAAACUGAUGGACAGCUGAAAACUGGACGGGACAUUGUGAUAGCUGCUCUGCUUGGAGCGGAAGAAUUUGGAUUCAGCACUGCUCCAUUGAUUACGUUGGGCUGCAUCAUGAUGAGGAAGUGCCACUAGAACACUUGUCCCGUGGGAAUCGCUACUCAAGACCCGGUACUACGGGAAAUGUUUGCCGGAGAACCCGAAGACGUGAUCAACUUUUUCUUCAUGGUAGCGGAGGAAGCUCGUGAACUUAUGGCCGAAAUGGGAUUCAGGACGAUGGACGAAAUGGUUGGACGGGCUGACAUGCUAGAGGUGUACAAGUCCGUCACAGCAAGCAACGAGAAGCUGAAAAACAUCGAUCUGUCGCUUCUUCUUCGACCUGCGGCUGAUAUUCGACCCGACGCUGCUCAACGCUGCGUGCAGAAGCAGGAUCACAAUCUCGGCAUGGCUUUGGAUCAGCAACUCAUCAAAGUUUCUAAGCAUGCUCUAGAGAACGGGUACCCGGUAUAUCUGGAGUCACCCGUUGUGAACGUGAACCGGGCCGUAGGAACCAUGCUCAGUCACGAAGUCACCAAGAAGUACAAGAUGGAAGGCCUUCCGGCUGAUACCAUUCACGUCAAGCUUACAGGAAAUGCAGGACAGAGUCUAGGCGCGUUUCUAUGUCGGGGUAUUACGUUGGAGCUGGAAGGUGACAGCAACGACUACGUUGGGAAGGGACUUUGUGGAGGCAGGGUCGUGGUUUAUCCUCCCAGGGACAGCGGAUUUGACCCCAAAGAGAACAUCGUCAUUGGGAAUGUUGCUCUGUACGGGGCCACAAGUGGUGAAGCGUAUUUCAACGGCAUGGCCGCUGAGCGGUUCUGCGUUAGAAACUCCGGCGCAAAGGCAGUCGUGGAGGGCGUUGGAGAUCACGGCUGUGAAUACAUGACUGGAGGCACAGUCGUUAUUCUUGGGAAGACGGGGAAGAAUUUUGCUGCUGGAAUGAGCGGGGGGAUAGCAUACGUAUAUGAUGUGGACGGAAAGUUCAGGCUCCGAUGCAACCCCGGACAAGUCGACCUCGAAGACGUUCUUGAGGACGAGGAUGUGUUGACUUUGAGGGCUAUGAUUCAACAGCAUCAGCGACACACGAAAAGCCAGCAUGCAAAGCAAAUCCUGGAUGAGUUUGACUCUGCGCUUCCCAAGUUCGUGAAAGUUUUCCCUCGCGACUACAAAAGAGCUCUCAACGAGGAGAAGGCCAAGAAAAGAGCGGCAGAGGAGGAGGAAGCGCGACUGGCCACUGUGGAUGCUUUCCAGGAAUUGAAGAAAAUGGCCGAAGCGGCUACCAACGGAGGAGCGGCUGCAGUAGCUGAGACUCCGGCCAAAGCGCGGCCAACAAUAAUUCCGGACGCUGUUAAGCAUCGGGGAUUUAUCUCGUAUGAACGAGAAACACUUCCAUAUCGCCCGGCCCAGUAACGAAUGCAAGACUGGAACGAGGUCCUUGCUACCGGCAGGAAUGAUGACCUCCUUAAAACCCAGUCUGCCCGGUGUAUGGAUUGCGGCACUCCAUUCUGCAACCAGGAUAGCAGUGGAUGUCCCCUUGGAAACAAGAUUCCGGAAUGGAACGAACUUGUUCACCAAGGUCGUUGGCGGGAAGCCUUGGAUAGGCUCCUGGAAACCAACAACUUUCCAGAGUUCACGGGACGUGUGUGCCCUGCUCCUUGCGAGGGUGCCUGUGUUUUGGGAAUUAUCUCUAUUAAGACGAUGGAGUGUACCAUUAUUGACAAAGCCUUUGAGGAAGGUUGGAUGGUUCCUCGUCCACCAGCUUAUCGAACCGGGAAGAGAGUGGCGAUUGUAGGUAGCGGUCCGGCAGGCCUAGCAGCCGCUGAUCAGCUCAAUAAGGCCGGCCACUCCGUGACAGUGUUUGAGCGAGCGGAUAGAAUUGGAGGCCUCAUGAUGUACGGUGUACCGAACAUGAAGACCGACAAAGUGGAGGUCGUUCAACGGCGAGUGAACCUGAUGGCUGCCGAAGGGAUCGAGUUCAUCGUUAAUGCGAACGUCGGAGUUGACAAGUUAUUCUCGGUGGAGAGGUUAAUGUCCGACUAUGAUAGCUUACUACUUGCUUGUGGCGCUACUAAGCCCAGGGACCUUAAAGUAGAAGGCCGAGAAUAUGAAGGCAUACAUUUUGCCAUGGAGUUCCUUCACGCGAAUACCAAGAGUUUGCUGGAUUCGGGGCUCAAGGACAACAACUACAUAUCCGCCAAAGACAAGAAGGUGGUGGUGAUAGGAGGAGGCGAUACAGGCACAGAUUGCAUCGGUACUGCGGUCCGCCACGGCUGCAAGAGCGUUGUAAAUCUGGAGCUACUUCCUCAGCCUCCUGCAACUCGUGCACCGGGGAAUCCUUGGCCACAGUGGCCACGAAUUUUCCGCGUUGAUUACGGGCAUGCCGAGGCAAAGGAGAAGUUUGGUAGUGAUCCCAGGUCGUAUGAGGUGACCACAAAGAAGUUUAUCACCGAUGGUGAUAACCGUGUCAGCGGCUUGGUGCUCAAACGGGUGCGGUGGUUUAAGGACGCGAGUGGGAGAUUCCAGAGGGAGGAAAUCGAAGGGUCGGAAGAGAUAAUAGAGGCAGAUUUGGUGCUCUUGGCCAUGGGAUUCGUGGGACCAGAACAGGACGUAGCUGAGAAGCUCAAAGUGGCUACCAAUGAUGCAGCAACCACAUUUAAAGCAGAGUAUGGCAAAUUUGCUACAAAUGUCAAGGGUGUCUUUGCCGCUGGUGACUGUCGAAGAGGACAAUCGCUGGUUGUGUGGGCGAUUGCCGAAGGGAGGCAAGCGGCAGCACAGAUUGACAAGUUUCUGAUGGAAGACACUUCCAAGGUUGGCGAGGAGCUCAAGGCUGCUCGGAAGAAGAUGGGGAUGUUGAUAUAAAAUGGACAGCCAAAUUUUGCCUGUUGUAAAUUUUGUUGGGUUGGUUUUUAUCCUAAUUAAAGGAGUGGUUCUAAUCAAAAAUUAUAUUUAGUGUA
Molecule: RNA transcript, 6882 nt
Organism: Selaginella moellendorffii
Lineage: Eukaryota; Viridiplantae; Streptophyta; Lycopodiopsida; Selaginellales; Selaginellaceae
Gene name: glutamate synthase 1 [NADH], chloroplastic
Exons: 21
Source: RefSeq, a predicted model, not a curated record